Carica papaya (papaya) is the source of this 376-nucleotide non-coding RNA. The record is from RefSeq and is a predicted model, not a curated record. Lineage: Eukaryota; Viridiplantae; Streptophyta; Magnoliopsida; Brassicales; Caricaceae.
GAAAAAAAAACAAGAGAGAAAGAGUAAAAGAGAGCGGCCGAGGGAGAUACAUGGGAGAAAUAAAGGAGACGACGAGGGAAAAUGAAAUCGUAGGGAGAAUUCGAAUGAGCAGAGGAGUUUAGUGAGUUAUGGAUGAGGGAGAGGAAAUAAAGGCAAGAAGUAAGGGAUAUUUAGAGUUUUUGACUUGAUGUGUUAGAUGCGAAGUCGAAAUCAGAAUGCAUAGUGAUGGAGCCCCACCCUUAAAGAAGGGACGCACGCUAGUAUAGGAUGCUUGUUUUAUACACAUGAGUGCACACACUGUACCAACCUUGAAAUUAUAGUUGUUGUAACAUCGAACUAUGCGAAUUGACUAUGUACUCUCUAAAUGUUUAAUGGA